Small nucleolar RNA from Dendrobium catenatum, 78 nucleotides. RefSeq annotates it as small nucleolar RNA R160. Lineage: Eukaryota; Viridiplantae; Streptophyta; Magnoliopsida; Asparagales; Orchidaceae. The record is from RefSeq and is a predicted model, not a curated record. The transcript has a single exon.
AGCAAGGGGAUGAUCUAAUUUGAUCUGAAUAUGAUGCUGAUAGCAAUUCAUCAUGUCCUUCAAAGCUCUCUGAUUGCU